GGAUGAAAUCCUUUGUUGUGGAUGGAGCUUGAUUCUCAUCACUUCCAUUAUACUGUAAUGGUUUCUCUUCUCAGGAAAGAAUAUGUGAAAUUAAAUUUUACGUGCUUUUGUGUUUUGAUUCAUAGUUUUUCCUAUCUUUUAUAAUAACUAUUACGAGAAGGAUUUACGGUGUCUGGGUUAGCCAGCUUCUCUGUUUUCCUUGAUUCCCAUUUGUGUUGGCAUAUUGGGUGAUUCAUUUAAGCUACAUAUUAAUCUUAGCAUAAGUUUCUCCAUGUCUAAUGUAUUGACUCUGUUUCAUUUUUCUGGGUUUCUGACAGGGAACUGUUGUUGCUGGGUUUGGUAUGGUUUCUGUUGCCCAGAAGUUUUAAUUCCGUGGAAGAUAGCUUAAUGGGUGAGGAUGAUAAAUCAUAUAUAAGCAAGGUAAAAGGAAAAGGGGCUUGGGCAGGAAGGCCAAGGAAGAUAUUUUUGGUUUUGAUUGGGAUAAUUCUAACAACAAGUGUUUCUGGACCUGUAUGCGUGGCUGAUGGAACUGUCAGUCACAAAAAGUCCUCGAAGCAUCAAAAUACAUCAGAACCCCAACCAUUGGUUAUCAGGUGUGGUAAUUUACAAUUCUGGAUAAGCAUGUCAGUGACUGGAACCAUUGUGGGAAACAGGUUGAUCCGGAAACAGCAAAAUACUUUUAGGAGAUUGCAAAUCUUUUUUAAAGGAGUGGGAUUGACUAGGAGGAGUGAUCAGUUAUUUGUGGUAAUGCUCUUGAAGAAGCUCAAGGGAAAGCAUUGAACCAGCGACUGACUAUAUUAUAAGCCAUAGUUUGCAAACUCUCCCUGAGCGCUGCAAUGCGGAUAGCCUUUGUAAUUUCCUUUGUGGCUGUGCAAAGAUCUUCCCUUUAUUUUUUAUUAAUCUUAUAACAAGGUGAUUGUUGCCAAUCCUUUUGAUAUGAUGUGUUAACUAUUAUGGAUCUCAUGUCUUUGAAGUCUUCUUUGUCUUCAUGGGGGAGUGUCAUUAGAUUCCCCUGAGUUUCAUGGAGCAAAGCCAUUAACAAUUCCGGCAGAGCGGCUUAACCUCAAUGAAACUUGGGAGGCUGGCAUCAUCAGCAGGGAUUUCCCAGUUUAUUGAAAUUUCUGUGUCAGCAAUGUUGAAUUGCAUGAAGACAUUAAAACCCUGCAAGUUGAUCAAUAUAGCAGUUUGGUUUUGCAGACGGCUUUGAAGUUAUUAGCUGGGCAAAGUCAAGAUUUAAUGCAAAUAAUUGCUAUUUUGCUUGGAUGCAAAGAAGAAAAUUUAACAGAAGAGAACUUCAUAAAUACGACAGCAGUUGUUGAAGUUGUAGAAUUGAUGAAAGAAACUGCAUACAGCCACUUAAUGGAGGUGAUCUUGGGAGUUGCUCCUGAAAGCUUGUAUAACAAAAUGUUCACUAAAGUUUUCAGGAAAUCAUUAUUUGAGCUUUCAUCCCAUCACUGUGGCAACUUUGUUAUUCAAGCAUUAGUUUCUCAUGCAAGAAAUCAAGAACAAAUGGAGAUGAUUUGGGAGGCACUUGGUCCAAAAUUUAAAGAUCUUCUUGAAAUGGGGAGGUCAGGAGUUAUUGCAUCUCUUAUUGCUGCAUGCCAAAGGCUUCAUGUCCAUGAAAAUAAGUGCUGUCAGGCCCUUACUGCAGCUGUUUGUUUACCAAAUGAGUCUCCAAGAUGCAUUGUUCCUCGGAUACUAUUUCUUGAAAGUUACUUUGCCUUUGAGGACAAGUCUAAUUGGAAGUGGCCGAGUGAUUUUAAGAUGCAUGUCAUGGGUUCUCUGAUUCUUCAAGCAAUUUUCAGAUUUCAAAGUGUAUGUUGCCUUGUCUUUAUGUUUAUUUCCUCAUCAUUUAUAUUUGUGGUAGCCCAGUCACCAUAUUGUAAACAGAUGCUAUAAACGUGGAUCAUCCAUACUGGGGAUGAUUUUUUUUAGGUGAUUUUAUGCCUGCUACAUGUGUACAUAAAUGUGUGUCUGUGUCUGUGUAGUGUGUACAUAUAGUUUGCUUUGGGUGAACAGAAGAAAUAAAAGCUAGUGAAACAAAACAUCAGUAUGAGCUUCUAUUAUUCUUUUAGUUGGCCAUCUUUCUUCUUGACUGUUGAAAGGAACUGGUAAAAAUUAUAGAUAUCCUUUGUUAUGCUGUCUAUGCAUGGUCUCCGAGCUGUUCUGUAGUUUAUUUUGUCGUUUUGGUUCCAGCUGACAAAACAUAAACAUCUAUUGGGCGCUGACUUGUCAUUAUUAUUCACUGCUAAGGCUUAAGCUGCUCUUUUCAUGUUAAACUUUGUGCCAUUAUGAGUUAUCCAUGCUCAGUAGUAGUUAUUGACUUAUAAGGCUUAAGCUGUUCUUUUUCAUGUUGCAUUUAUUGCCACAUUAAUGGCAUCUAUGGAUUUACAUAUACAACUUAUAAUACUGUCAAGAGAAAAAUUUCUUAUUAUUUAGACAUUUCAAUUCAAAAAAGUUAGGGGUUUGGAAAUUGGAAAAUAAGGAUUGGACUUCACCAUUCCAAUCAAGAUAAUGUACGUGAAAUAUAAGUGGAAGUUGCCCAUUUUCAGAGAAAAUAUCUUAUGUUCAUGGAUUUCUAUUAUAGAUACCAAGAUUUUUGGCAUAAUUUUUGAUCUUAUAGAGGUAAAAGGUCAUAUUAUUUGGACUAUCAUUUCAUUUUGAAAUAUGCAUUGUAGUGUAGCUCAAAGGCUUAUAGUGAGGCUAUUCAUGAAUUCCUGAAUCUGAAGAGAAGAUAACUCUGUGUAAACUGUAAUGAUAUGAUCUGGCAAUGUGGAAGUAAGAUACUUUAGUUCCUAUAAUUGUUUAUGUCUUAUUUAUUAUAACAUAUGAGGAAUCUCCAGAAUGUUCAAAUGAACCAGUGUCUAUAUUAAUACAUUGUGGUCUUCUAAUUCCUCACACAAGCAUUGGAUAUUCUGUUUGACUGGCAGGAGCUCAUUCAGCCUUUCAUUAACAGUCUUACAUCCAUGGAAAUUGACCAUGUCCUUCAAACCGCAAAAGAUGCUGGGGGGGCACGUGUUAUUGAAGCUUUUCUUAGUUCCAAUGCUUCUGGCAAACAGAAGCAUAGAUUAAUUAUGAAGUAUGUCUUGCUGCAAUAUUUGCUCAUUUACUUUAUUUUUGGGAAGUUUUGAUCUGUAUUCAAUUUUAGCUUUUAUUUUCUGACAAAACUAUAGUAUGGUUAUUAUAUGGAAUUGAUGAAAGUAUUAACUGGUAUUAACUGGGUAAUUAUUUGUCACUACCCAAGUCCACGUGGACCAGUGACCUGACAACUGAGCAGUGAGCAUGCUGUUCUAGUUGAUAUAAUAUUUUGUUUUUCUUUUCAGGCCAAGAAUGUUGUUCAUUUAGUAGGAGAGAGAGGGACAGUAAACAUGAGAAGCAUUCCAAUAAUUUGGGCUUUGUAUCGUGGAAGCUCUCAUAUGCAUAAAGAUCAAUCCUUCUUGAAUUGAACAUGGGACUUUAUUUGGGAACAGCUUUGAAUGUCUUUUUUUUUUUUCGUCUUUCUAAUUUGUUUCGAUUACUCUGAACUUCUGAAGGUUACGAGGACAUUUUGGAGAGCUUGCAAUGCAUUCAUCUGGUUCAUUCACCAUUGAGAAGUGCUUCACUGCCAGUAGUGUCUCACUAAGAGAGGCCAUAGCAUCAGACUUGUUAGCAGUGCAACCUGAACUAUCCAAGACAAAGCAAGGUCCCUAUCUCUUAAGGAAACUAGAUAUUGACAGGUAAGAUACUAUUUUUUAGCAUAUUGUAACUUAUCACCUAUUGUUGUUGGUUCUUGCUUGAAAUUUUAUUUCCAUCUUGCUUUUGUUCCUGGAUGCAAACACAUAGAGGGAUCCUCUCUCAUUGAGCGUGAGCAAUUAUGAUGCCACAAGUUUAAUUUCUACCCUGCACCUAUGCAGGCGUAGACAAUUUGGAAAUCAGUAUGUUACUUUGUGGCACUUUAAGAAUUCCUUGUUAGAGUUGGGUUUUGGCUAUUUACUGUUUUGUCUGAACUUUGUAUGUUAUUUGCUUUACUGCAACAGAUUUGCUAAACGGCCUGAUCAAUGGAAGUCCAUGCAAGCAUCAAAACAAUCAACGUACAAAGAAUUUUAUGCUGCGUUUGGAUCUAAUGAAAACAAGCCAUCAAGAAGUGACUCAUUUCUCGCUGAUACUUCCAAGAAUACAUCACAACCAAAAGGAAUAAAGAAAAUGAGGAAAGAGAUUGAUUAUCAUCUGACAUCUGAGAAAAACAGAAAGGGUCGUGCUGUUUCUGAGACUGUUGGAACAUCAAAGAAAGUAGUGGAAAGCACACACCAGAUACCGUUCCUAUCUACUGAUAUGAAGGGGAAGAAGCGACACAGAAAGCAUAAACCUAUAAAAGUUUCAAAAAAGAAGUUAAAAGUAUGAUGAUGCAUUGUAUCAUUUUUACUGUUAGCUUUGUAAUGCCUUACUUGAGCUUUGCAGAGCAUGCAUUUCAGGAAUGGCAAUUUGGUCACAGAUUAUCAUCACAGCACAUACCUUUCAUUGUUUUAUAGUUUUUUUUUUCCUUGCUUUUUAAGCGUCCCUAUGAUUUGUUUAUUCUAGACAUAAGAAAUUGGAAAAAAAAAAA
RNAcentral lists this unclassified non-coding RNA (4582 nucleotides) under Hevea brasiliensis (rubber tree). The record is from RNAcentral. Lineage: Eukaryota; Viridiplantae; Streptophyta; Magnoliopsida; Malpighiales; Euphorbiaceae.